GCCUGGGUGGCUCAGUGGUUGAGCAUCUGGCUUUAGCUCAGGGUGUGAUCCCUGGGUCUGGGAUCAAGUCCUAAAUCGGGCU
RNAcentral lists this transfer RNA (82 nucleotides) under Canis lupus familiaris (dog). It matches the Rfam family "tRNA". Rfam says of the family: Transfer RNA (tRNA) molecules are approximately 80 nucleotides in length. Lineage: Eukaryota; Metazoa; Chordata; Mammalia; Carnivora; Canidae. The record is from Rfam by way of RNAcentral. RNAcentral also lists the same sequence under 1 other name.